This 183-nucleotide non-coding RNA is filed under the name Acetobacterium woodii. RNAcentral also lists the same sequence under 1 other name. Lineage: Bacteria; Bacillati; Bacillota; Clostridia; Eubacteriales; Eubacteriaceae. The record is from RNAcentral.
AAUAAAAUUAACAAUAGAGGUGGCUAGCAUAAUGGUGUUGGCAUAAUAGGGAAACAGGUUAAAUUCCUGUACGGUACCGCCGCUGUGUAAGAGGAAUUUUUCCAUGAAUACCACUGUUUUUCGGGAAGGUAGGAAAAGUGAGGACGCUUGAGUCAGAAAACCUGCCUUUAUUGAUGUCUUUUU